Molecule: ribosomal RNA, 803 nt
Filed under: uncultured organism
Description: SSU rRNA
Rfam family: Bacterial small subunit ribosomal RNA
Source: RNAcentral
GCGUGCCUAACACAUGCAAGUCGAACGGAGCUGCUUUGAUGAAGUUUUCGGAUGGAUUUAAAACAGCUUAGUGGCGGACGGGUGAGUAACGCGUGGGUAACCUGCCUCACACUGGGGGAUAACAGUUAGAAAUAGCUGCUAAUACCGCAUAAGCGCACGGUUCCGCAUGGAACAGUGUGAAAAACUCCGGUGGUGUGAGAUGGACCCGCGUCUGAUUAGCCAGUUGGCGGGGUAACGGCCCACCAAAGCGACGAUCAGUAGCCGGCCUGAGAGGGUGAACGGCCACAUUGGGACUGAGACACGGCCCAAACUCCUACGGGAGGCAGCAGUGGGGAAUAUUGCACAAUGGGGGAAACCCUGAUGCAGCGACGCCGCGUGAGUGAAGAAGUAUUUCGGUAUGUAAAGCUCUAUCAGCAGGGAAGAAAGUGACGGUACCUGAAUAAGAAGCCCCGGCUAACUACGUGCCAGCAGCCGCGGUAAUACGUAGGGGGCAAGCGUUAUCCGGAUUUACUGGGUGUAAAGGGAGCGUAGACGGCAAGGCAAGUCUGAAGUGAAAGCCCGGUGCUUAACGCCGGGACUGCUUUGGAAACUGUUUAGCUGGAGUGCCGGAGAGGUAAGCGGAAUUCCUAGUGUAGCGGUGAAAUGCGUAGAUAUUAGGAAGAACACCAGUGGCGAAGGCGGCUUACUGGACGGUAACUGACGUUGAGGCUCGAAAGCGUGGGGAGCAAACAGGAUUAGAUACCCUGGUAGUCCACGCCGUAAACGAUGAUUGCUAGGUGUAGGUGGGUAUGGACCCAUCGGUG